UGGCUUCCCUCCUAUAUUUACACCUUGUCAAGAUCACUCUUGGGAGAAACAUCAGGUCGCUAAAGGUUUCUCCCUUUCCUCCUCUCUUAAAAGAUACUUGUAUAAUUCUUCCAACAAUAAUUCCUCUAUAGGAGUGGGUUGGUCCUGGUUUCAAUGGUUGAUUUCCAAUGAAAAGGGGGCCACAGCCGACAUCUCCGCUUUGGCUCAAUUACGAGGAGUCCAAAGUUGGCUGUUUAAUGUUUCUGGCAGUACCCAAGACUCGGGGUGGGGUAGGAGACUCAAAUCUAUUUCACACAGUGCACUAUUAAGUAAUGCAACGUUACCCUCUGCAGCAGUCUGUCUCCAAUCUCCGUUUCUGUUCCUUUUGGCUAAUGUUACAUCACAGAGGAUGCUUAAUGGCUCUAAUAUUACCUGUUACUUGUCUGAGUGUUGGAAUGGAUCCUAGCCUA
RNAcentral lists this long non-coding RNA (449 nucleotides) under Marmota monax (woodchuck). Lineage: Eukaryota; Metazoa; Chordata; Mammalia; Rodentia; Sciuridae. The record is from RNAcentral.